GGGGGUGAAAAGGACUCGACUUAAAUUUGCAUCGUAAGAAGAGCAUGUAGAGCAAGCAAGAUUGCUCUUAAAAAUAUCUUGCAAAAAUAAACGCAAACACACCAGUGUUUAACCGGCUAACAGCUCCAGUAAUGGCUCCGUUAGCUGGUAGCGUAGGAAUCUGUCUGAAUUAGUCAGACAGUCUCUUAAGUAAGGUGUCUGCGACUUGCUUAAGGGAAUUUUAGCAGGCUGGUUUGAGCAAGUUGCCUUUGGUGCUCAAAUGAGACUUUAAAAGGCUAUAGUUUAUUCAAUCCUGCUUAUCGGAGUGAAUAAAUUGAAGCGAAAAGAUAAGCUAAACAUGUAGCGCUUCUUAUGGCGCAAUUUAAGGACGCGGGUUCAAUUCCCGCCACCUCCACCA
This 397-nucleotide transfer-messenger RNA is filed under the name Candidatus Omnitrophota. RNAcentral describes it as "JAMWCT01 sp023819525 Standard tmRNA". It matches the Rfam family "transfer-messenger RNA". From Rfam's summary of the family: Bacterial tmRNA, also known as 10Sa RNA or SsrA, is named for its dual tRNA and mRNA-like properties. Its role is to liberate the mRNA from a stalled ribosome. To accomplish this part of the tmRNA is used as a reading frame that ends in a translation stop signal. Lineage: Bacteria; Pseudomonadati. RNAcentral also lists the same sequence under 1 other name. The record is from RNAcentral.